Molecule: ribosomal RNA, 151 nt
Filed under: Aeromonas salmonicida subsp. salmonicida 01-B526
Lineage: Bacteria; Pseudomonadati; Pseudomonadota; Gammaproteobacteria; Aeromonadales; Aeromonadaceae
Description: partial 16S ribosomal RNA
Rfam family: Bacterial small subunit ribosomal RNA
Source: RNAcentral
CGCUAUGAGAUCGGCCCGCGGCCCAUUAGCUAGUUGGCGGGGUAACGGCCCACCAAGGCGACGAUGGGUAGCUGGUCUGAGAGGAUGAUCAGCCACACUGGAACUGAGACACGGUCCAGACUCCUACGGGAGGCAGCAGUGGGGAAUUUUG